CGUGUAACUAACAGUGCAAACAAACCCUAAUUCUCAUUCAUCACUUUCAUUCUCUUCGGACUCACGCAAACUUCCACACAAUAGACAAUACAAAGAUGCCGAGUAGACGCGUUCUCUUCCUUGUUCUCUCACUCACCGCUCUGAUCCUCUUCCUCUCCUCGCUCUCUCUAACCUUCUCCAAUCCUAUCGAAAAUGAAGACCCCUUCUUCCUCCAAGAAAUGAGGAACGAAAUCAAACCCGAUAUCAUCAAUGAAUGGCCGAUCGAUGAAGAAGAAGAAGAAGAAGAUAAUGAUGAUAACGACGACCAAUUCGAUUACUAUAACAAUCGUUUUGCCGUGCCUGACGAAUGGAAGUAGCAUGAUCUGAUCAGCGCAAAGACAGACUCACUCACUGAUUUGGAAGUGCAAUACUCUUGCUUGCUGUGGGUGGAUAUAUACUACCAAAGAAACCAUUGGGUGAGCCUUGAAGGAGUCAAAAUAUGUUUCAAUUUUUAUUUUUAUUUUUGUAAAUAAAUUAGCAUAACUUUUUAUAAUGAGGAGUCCCUUUUGUAGGAUUGAAUGAGACUUGUAAUUAGGUGUCCUACUAAAAAUCUAUUAAUUCCCAAUAAUUAGGUGUUCUACUAAAAAUCUAUUAAUCCCCAAUAAAUGGUUUCAUUUCUUCCUUAUAUAGGCCAUAUUAAAUUCUUUUUUGUCA
Molecule: long non-coding RNA, 693 nt
Organism: Quercus robur (English oak)
Lineage: Eukaryota; Viridiplantae; Streptophyta; Magnoliopsida; Fagales; Fagaceae
Exons: 2
Source: RefSeq, a predicted model, not a curated record